Molecule: ribosomal RNA, 301 nt
Filed under: uncultured bacterium
Lineage: Bacteria
Description: partial 16S ribosomal RNA
Rfam family: Bacterial small subunit ribosomal RNA
Source: RNAcentral
CAGUCGCCGCGGUAAUACGUAGGUGGCAAGCGUUGUCCGGAAUUAUUGGGCGUAAAGGGCUCGCAGGCGGUUUCUUAAGUCUGAUGUGAAAGCCCCCGGCUCAACCGGGGAGGGUCAUUGGAAACUGGGAAACUUGAGUGCAGAAGAGGAGAGUGGAAUUCCACGUGUAGCGGUGAAAUGCGUAGAGAUGUGGAGGAACACCAGUGGCGGAGGCGACUCUCUGGUCUGUAACUGACGCUGAGGAGCGAAAGCGUGGGGAGCGAACAGGAUUAGAUACCCCGGUAGUCCCUGUCUCUUAUAA